Molecule: ribosomal RNA, 238 nt
Filed under: uncultured Anaplasma sp.
Lineage: Bacteria; Pseudomonadati; Pseudomonadota; Alphaproteobacteria; Rickettsiales; Anaplasmataceae
Description: partial 16S ribosomal RNA
Rfam family: Bacterial small subunit ribosomal RNA
Source: RNAcentral
UACGGAGGGGGCAAGCGUUGUUCGGAAUUAUUGGGCGUAAAGGGCAUGUAGGUGGUUUGGUAAGUUAAAGGUGAAAUGCCAGGGCUUAACCCUGGAGCUGCUUUUAAUACUGCCAGACUGGAGUCCGGGAGAGGAUAGCGGAAUUCCUAGUGUAGAGGUGAAAUUCGUAGAUAUUAGGAGGAACACCAGUGGCGAAGGCGGCUAUCUGGUCCGGUACUGACACUGAGGUGCGAAAGCG